Molecule: long non-coding RNA, 601 nt
Organism: Pyrus x bretschneideri (Chinese white pear)
Lineage: Eukaryota; Viridiplantae; Streptophyta; Magnoliopsida; Rosales; Rosaceae
Exons: 3
Source: RefSeq, a predicted model, not a curated record
UCUCUCUUAUUUCGCCGACUCACUGCCCUAUUCUCUCACUCCACCCUCUCACGUUCUCACUCUGCCACUUCGCCCCCUGCCCUCCCACGAUUUCUCACUUCAGCAUCAGCCCUCCAUCCUCUCACGAUUUCUCACUCUAUCUCUAAUUUCAGAACAAUAUGAAGUAGCUCGAGCUCUCUCCACGUUGAAUCAAUGGCAAUCAUCUAGAGAAAUACUGUGAAGGAGUUGAAGAAUGUUGGUGGUACCUUGUCAUCAUUCAAAUCCAAUGAAUCAGACCUUGGGUUAAACUAAACUUUUGAGGAUUUCGAUAAAUGUUACAAAAAGGGCUCAAUUUUAAGUACAAAAUUUGAAUUACGUAAAUAUCUUGAUGAAGAAAACUUGAGAGAACAAGAGUUAGACAUUCUUUCUCGGUGGAAAAUAGAACAAUUUCAUUAUCUUGUCCUUUCUCGACUCUCGUUUGACUUGUGAUGUAUUAACAAUUCUUGUUUCUAUCGUCACCUCAUAAUCAGUAAUUAGUAUUGGUGCUAGAGUGAUCGAUCAAUAUCGUAGUUCUUUAUUGCCUGAAACUGCUCAAGCAUUGUUAUGUAUUAGAGAUUGGCUU